GUGGGGAAUCUUCCGCAAUGGACGAAAGUCUGACGGAGCAACGCCGCGUGAACGAUGACGGCCUUCGGGUUGUAAAGUUCUGUUAUACGGGACGAAUGGUACGACGGCCAAUACCCGUCGUAAGUGACGGUACCGUAAGAGAAAGCCACGGCUAACUACGUGCCAGCAGCCGCGGUAAUACGUAGGUGGCAAGCGUUGUCCGGAAUUAUUGGGCGUAAAGGGCGCGCAGGCGGCGUCGUAAGUCGGUCUUAAAAGUGCGGGGCUUAACCCCGUGAGGGGACCGAAACUGAGAUGCUAGAGUAUCGGAGAGGAAAGCGGAAUUCCUAGUGUAGCGGUGAAAUGCGUAGAUAUUAGGAGGAACACCAGUGGCGAAAGCGGCUUUCUGGACGACAACUGACGCUGAGGCGCGAAAGCCAGGGGAGCAAACGGGAUUAGAAACCCGAGUAGUCC
This 450-nucleotide ribosomal RNA is filed under the name uncultured bacterium. Its description in RNAcentral is "partial 16S ribosomal RNA". It matches the Rfam family "Bacterial small subunit ribosomal RNA", at positions 354 to 796 of the family's 1533-position model. The record is from RNAcentral.